GGCAUGGGGGUUGGACUCCAGUUCCAGAGCAUGGCUAUGGUGGUUAUCGUUGAGGUUCUGAUCACUCUUCAUUGCUGCCAUCUGAAAGGCCAUGACACAAGCAAGAACAAGUUGCUCAUCAGCCCGAUUACAAUAAAUGAGAUUUGAAUUAAGGACAAGCUACAUGGUACUUGAUGGGAGAUAAAGGAUCUACAAGUGCAGUCUUAUUUAUCAUGUAACUCCAAAAGCUUAAAUCCAAUUGUUGUAUUGAUAAGAUGUGUGACUUGAUUUCUGGCAUAAUAAUUGUUUAGAUCUGACUGUUUGAUUGUGCCA
This is a long non-coding RNA of Carya illinoinensis, 312 nucleotides long. RefSeq lists it as uncharacterized. The record is from RefSeq and is a predicted model, not a curated record. Lineage: Eukaryota; Viridiplantae; Streptophyta; Magnoliopsida; Fagales; Juglandaceae. The transcript is spliced from 2 exons.